This is a transfer RNA of Loxodonta africana (African savanna elephant), 59 nucleotides long. It matches the Rfam family "tRNA". From Rfam's summary of the family: Transfer RNA (tRNA) molecules are approximately 80 nucleotides in length. Their secondary structure includes four short double-helical elements and three loops (D, anti-codon, and T loops). NCBI's taxonomy places the organism in Eukaryota, Metazoa, Chordata, Mammalia, Proboscidea, Elephantidae. The record is from Rfam.
AGUGGUUAAGAGCUUGGCUGUUAACCAAAAGUUUGGUAGUUCGAAUCUACCAACUGCUC